AAGCAAGCCAUCUUGUCUCUUACAAUCAGCAAGGGCACUCAAACCGAAGUCUGAAAUUUUCAAAUUUCCAUCUUCAUCAAGGAGGAGAUUUUCGGGCUUCAAAUCGCGAUGGUAAACACCUCUGCUGUGGCAAAAGUCGACAGCACUGAUCAGCUGUUGAAAGUAUUUACGUGCAACAUCCUCUUUGAGUUUGCCUUUUGCAACCUUGUUGAAGAGUUCGCCGCCUCUGAUGUAUUCAAGGACAAAGUAAAUCUUACUCUUGCUGGCCAUCACCUCAUAAAGCUGCGCAACAUUCGGAUGCCUCACCAGUCUCAUAACUGAAAUCUCUCGCUUAAUCUGAUCAACGAGUCCCACCUUGAAGACCUUCUCUUUAUCAAUCACCUUUAUGGCGACGCUCUCUGAAGUUUUAAUGUUUCUGGCAUGGUAAACUUUGGCAAAAGUUCCUUGCCCUAGCAAUCGCCCUAGUUCAUAUUUUUGCAUAAGUAUACUUCCAUCAUGUUCCAUUGUCAUCUUAACAACCGUAAACAAAAUAUAUGCUUCCCACUUAUGGAAUAUAUACUCUAUAUUGUGGGAUCUUCAGCUUGGAAGACUUCAAUUCUUCUCACCAAUGUCCGGACCUAACACCGCUCCAGUGUGCAUUUCUUCACAGAGAAUAGGCUGGACAAGGGCCUGCUCUCCAAUCUCAUCAAGUAUGAACAAGGGUAGCUCGUGAGGAGCUAUAAUCUCAUUCAAUUUAAAUGAGGACUUCUUAAUUUUCACACACAUCUUUCAGCAUUCCCCGGUAUUUGGAUCCAAAUUUCAGACAAUAUUUUGUGGUUCGAUGAGAUCCGAUUCUCGAUUCAAAUUCGAUGAGCAUCCAAGAAAUUGAGGUGUAGUGAGAGGGGAAGCAAUU
RNAcentral lists this unclassified non-coding RNA (892 nucleotides) under Hevea brasiliensis (rubber tree). The record is from RNAcentral. Lineage: Eukaryota; Viridiplantae; Streptophyta; Magnoliopsida; Malpighiales; Euphorbiaceae.